AUGGCAUUCUUCUUGAACAAAUCCACCCUAGCUUCUCAUUUUCGAUCCUCAUCUCAGAAGAUCGAAGAUCCCGUUUCUCUCUCGCGCCGUCAGUUCCAUGUUGAACCCGGAACUCGUGAAAAAGCUCUCUUGGCAGAAGAUUCAGCUCUCAAGCCAUUCAAAUCAUAUAAGCAGAGUGUAAAAAAGCUCAGGAAAAUUGGGGAUGUUUUAACUAUUGUUGUUGUUGCAGGAUGCUGUUAUGAAAUAUAUGUCAAGGCUUCAACGAGAGAAGAGGCUCGCAAGCAGUAG
Molecule: long non-coding RNA, 288 nt
Filed under: Vicia faba (fava bean)
Lineage: Eukaryota; Viridiplantae; Streptophyta; Magnoliopsida; Fabales; Fabaceae
Source: RNAcentral